CAAUAGCGUAUAUUAAUGUUGUUGCAGUUAAAAAGCUCGUAGUUGGAUUUCUGGUGGGAGCGGCCGGUCCGCCGUAAGGUGUGUACUUGGUUGUCUCCUGUCAUCCUUGUGGGAACUGCUCUGGCAUUAAGUUGUCGGGGUUAGGGAACACAUCGUUUACUGUGAAAAAAUUAGAGUGUUUAAAGCAGGCUUAUGCCGUUGAAUACAUUAGCAUGGAAUAAUAAGAUAGGACUUUGGCGUCUAUUUUGUUGGUUUGCACACCAAGGUAAUGAUUAAUAGGGAUAGUUGGGGGUAUUCGUAUUUAAUUGUCAGAGGUGAAAUUCUUGGAUUUAUGAAAGACGAACUUCUGCGAAAGCAUUUACCAAAGAUGUUUUCACUAA
RNAcentral lists this ribosomal RNA (380 nucleotides) under uncultured eukaryote. Its description in RNAcentral is "partial 18S ribosomal RNA". It matches the Rfam family "Eukaryotic small subunit ribosomal RNA", at positions 592 to 976 of the family's 1831-position model. The record is from RNAcentral.